CAUUUUGUCUCCCCAUGUUGGGAGACGAUAUCCCAGCCGCGGUGGUGCUGCCGCUUUCGUGUGACUUUGGGUUUCCCGAGCGAGCCCGCAGCUGCACAGCAGUCCGCCUUCCCGUACCCGAGAGAAGCCGCCUCAGACCCCAGCCAGCGGGCACCCCCGGAGGCCCCGAGCCUGGCUGCAGGCCCUAGACCUGCACCAGGGGCCCAACCAGUUACCCGUAGCAUGGGCCACGUUCUCCCGCUGUAGACCGGGCUGAGGCCCGACGGCCACCCCUGGGGGAGGAGUUUUCUUAGCUUCCGGUAGGGCAGCCAGGCCGGGGUCCCACCAGACCCAGGACGUGAUACCGGUGAAGCGGCACAUACAGGAACAAGGCAGGAGGAAAAUAAUAAGCACCUUAAAGUUUCCACUUUUCGGUACCGUACUUCCUGUUAAUGUUUCUAAGCCCGUGAUUCUGGGCCUGAUAAUCAGCCAGCCGUCCUCACAGCAGAGUUGUAAGACGCUGGGCUGCUCAAGCACAAGUUCAUAUCUAGACCCACCGCUGGCGAGCAGCCCUGGACGUCCCGCUUAGCUGUCCUAACCAACUCAGGUGGCCUUGAUCCGCAACAGGACGCGGUACCACGUAAUGAACUGUCCAUUUGAGUGCAAGGAUUUAUAUUUGUUAUUACGAUUUGGGGGUGUUUUUAAGAGGCAGGGUUUUGCCCAGGCUGUUCUCGAAUUUGGGGCUCAAGCGAUCCUCCGACCUCAGCCUCCCAAGUAGCUGGGACUACCCGUGCAUGACACCCUAUCUGGCCCUUGUUUUUUGUUGUUGUUGUUGUUCUUUCUUUUUUCACGUGGUUUCGCACUUGUCACCCAGGCUGGAGUGCAAUGGUGUGUUGUCGGCUCACUGCAACCUGUCUCUCAGGUUGAAGUGAUUCUCGUGUCUCAGUCUUCCGAGUAGCUGGGAUUACAGGCGUGUGCCACCACGCCUGGCUAAUUUUUGUAUUUUUAGUAAAGACGGGGCUUCACUAUAUUGGUCAGGCUGGUCUCGAUUUCCUGACCUCAGGUGAUCUGCCCACCUCAGCCUCCCAAAGUGCUGAUAUUACAGGCGUGAGCCACCACGCCCGGCCCGUAUCCGGCUUUAAGAUUUGUUUUUCACUUGCCCGUGGGAGGAUGUACUUAUCUCAGAUGCUAGAGCCGGGAGACCCUCCCCCCCACCACCCCCAUCUCCUGCAGGAGCUCUGAUCGCAGAUUGGAGUGUCUGAACUCUGCAUCUAUGGACGGUGCUUCUGUAAGCCGGCCGCAACUCUGGAGUGGCAUAGUAAAGUGGCAAAGGCUUUGCCUUUCUGGUUAAAGACCCCAGCACCUCCAGUGAGACCCUUUCCUGUACCCCCACUGAUAUUCUUUAUGGAAUGUUUUGUGCGUGAGUCAGCACAUUUAAUGCCCGUGAAUAGUGACAAAACAUGGUUUGCAGUACCCUAAUGACUGAUGAUGCUGAGAAUCUUUUGAUGUGCUUGUUGGCCGUUUGUACAUCUUUGGAGAAAUUUCUCUUCGUGUCUUUUGUCUAUUUUAUUUUUUUGGGACAGAGUCUCACUCCUAACCCCGGGCUGGAGUGCAGUGGCACGAUCUCCACGCACUACAAUUCUUGUACCUCAGCCUCCCAAGUAGCUGGGAUUACAGGCGCACGCCACCACCCAGCUCAUUUUUUUAUUUUUAGUAGAGGUGGAGUUUUUUGUAGAGAUUGUGUCUCCCUGUGUUGCCCAGGCUGGUCUUGAACUCCUGGGCUCAAACUGUCCUCCCCCCUUAACCUCCCAAAGUGCUGGGAUUACAGGUGUGAGCCAUGGCACCCAGCCCUAGAAUGAUUUUUUAGUUUCCCUUUAAACUUUAUUUUUUUAUUCACUGUAGUGUGGUGGACGGUGGUGCCCCAAAACUUCACAACCACCUAGACAUUCGGAAGGUGACCUUAUUUGGAAUAAGAGAUUUUGCAGAUGUAAUUGAGUUAAAGAUCUGAAGAUGAAAUCAUCAUGAAUUUAGGGUAGGCCGUAAAUCCAAUGACUGACAUCCUUACAAGAAGACAAGAGGACACAGGCACCCGGGGGAAGAGGCCGUAGGAGACCCAGGCAGAGAUUCGGAGCGGUGCCCAUGCCAGGGAUCUCCAGGAGGAGCCAGAAGCUGGGAGAGGCCCUGCAGAUCCUCUCCCAGAGCCUUUGGAGGAGGCACAACCCUGUCCACACCUUGGUCUCCACUUUCUGGCCUCCAGAGCUGUAGGGGAACCCACUUCUGUGGUUUGAAGCCACCAAGUUCGUGGUGACUUAUGGCAGCCCUAGGAAAGUGACAUGCACAGGUAAACCACAUUCACUGCAGGAAAUAUACAAAUCAGCAAAAAGAAAAAAAGCACACAGGGGCACCACCCCCAGAGACAGCCAUGGCUGACAUCCUAGCGGCUGUCACCUCGGAGUGAUGUUCCUAAAAUGCAAACUUCUGAACUGCUUAAAACUCUUCCAGACACCCUCAGGUUGACAUCACAACUCCUUUGUUGGGCCUUCCAAGGCUGGUCCUUCCCGUGGCCUCUUUUCCCUCCGCUCUGUGACAGUCCAUGACGGGCACACUUGCCUAUGCUUGUUCUCCCAGGCAGUGGCCUUGUGUGGGCCUUCAGCUUCCAGUUCCAUGGCCUGGUGGAGGACCCUGUGGUGCAAGCCUUCCUCCAGACCCCCCUGGCCUGGGGCCCAAGACUGGGAAGCCUUUGAAGAUUUCAGUUUGUAAGUAGUGAGAGCAAUGAUCUUGGCUUUGCAUGGUGCUCAGGAAGCCUUCCCCGCUCCCAAACCAGAAAGGAAUCCAUCCAGAUUUUCCUCCACUGUCUGGAUGGCCGCUCUGUGGAUGCUUCCAUCUGUAUCCAUUGCCGGCACCUGGUGAGGUAUGAGGAAUGGGGCCCGGCUUUCCAAACACUCUCCAGAUGCCCCACCCUCUGGAUGGCUUCUGGCUGCCCAUGGGGACACCGUGGACCUUAAUGGUGGAGGAGCCAGGGUGAGGUGACUUGGGAUGAAGUCCCAUGACAGGGUCACAGGGUCGUACAGGAGGGAGCAGAUUUCAGACUAGCAGGGUGGGAGCCCUGUGGGGGUCCUCCGAGGAGCAGAUCCUGGUCCAGACACCCACAGAGGGCUGGGGUGGGGGUAUCCUGGCCAAGGGGGUGUGGCCAGCAGCACUUUCCCUGCUCUGUGCACCCUGGGCCUCCAUUCUGCGAAGGCCUGGGGAUGUGCCGGUGGCAGAACCACGCGCCUCAGGAGAAGGCCCGCCGUCCUGUCGGGCAUUGCCACAUCCUUGCCUGGAGAAGCAGAGCCUCCCCCAGCGUCCAGCUGGCUGGCAAGUUUUCGAGGACGCUUUACACUUUUCCUAAAUAAGCUGCACACUUACAGUGAAAUCAUCUCCUCCCUCCUAACACAGCCACCCCAUACCCUAGUAUUGGCUGCAGCACAGCUCUAGAGUGAGGGAUGAUCUCCAACACAGACAACGCAAAGCCUCCCUUCCACUCCCACGAGAAAGGCCUCUGUGGACCCCUCAGGCUCCAUCCCCGGGCUGGUAUCCCAGGCUCAGCAGGAGCAGUGCUGGGGGACUCUACGGGACCUCGUACCCCAGAGCCUAGAACCCCCCGUGCGGUGUGCCUGGCCCUCACUGUGAGGACUACGCCGGCCGCUUCUGCUCUGAGAGCCUUCAUGUGUCCCCCUGGCUCCUUCCACCAGCCCAGGGGUAGAGGGUGGGAUGCCAAGGCCUCUGGGAGACAGAACUCAGAGGGGCAGAGUCCCUGCCCAGAGGCCACCAGCAGGUCCCUGCAAAGGGCAGAGUGGGCAGUAUCUGGUGUGGAGCCUGUACUCAGUGGGAUGGGGCCAUCGUGAGGGUCCAGGCCAGCCUGUCUGAGACCUCUGCUCACUGCUCCAGUCUGUCCAGGCCCUGGGUCUCCUGGCCCCCACUCCAGUGGCAUCUUUGUGAGGAUUAGAUUAUGGUGCCCUCCCCCAACCCCAGGUGUCCCAGCCCUCUACCAAGGCCCAUGACCCAGCCCUUUAGAGUCUGGUUUGGACAUGGCACCUGCUAAGCCCAGGCCAGCAGCCCCAUGGGAUGGACUCCCCACUGCCGGUGUCUGCCUCCUGGGUCUGAGGAAUCUUUUUUUUUUUUUUUUUUUUUUUGAGGCAGCGUCUCACUGUGUUGCCCAGGCAGGACUGCAGUGGUGCGAUCUCAGCUCACUGCAACCUCCACCUCCCGGGUUCAAGCAAUUCUCCUGCCUCAGCUUCCUGAGUAGCUGGAACUACAGGUGCGCCACCAACCCAGCUAAUUUUUCUUUUUCUUUUUCUUUUUUUUUUUUUUUUUUUGAGAUGGAGUCUCACUCUGUUUCCAGGCUGGAGUGCAGUGGUGCAAUCUCAGCUCACUGCACCCUCAGCCUCCCAAGUAGCUGGGACUACAGGCACAUACCACCACACCCAGCUAAUUUUUGUAUUUUUAGUGGAGAUGGGGGUUUCACCAUGUUGGCCAGGAUGGUUUCGAUCUCCUGACCUCGUGAUCUGCCCACCUCGGCCUCCCAAAGUGCUGGGAUUACAGGUGUGAGCCACUGCACCCAGCCCUAAUUUUUGUGUUUUUAUUAGAGUUGGGGUUUCACCAUGUUGGCCAGGCAUGUCUGAGAAUUCUACAGCUUCAUUUUGUGCCUAGGGCCAGGACAGUGGAGGUUGUGGGCCACACAGCAUUCCCAGGUAGCUGAAGCUUCUCUGUUGAUGGAACAGCCCCAGGCACGUGGCUUGGCUUGUGGUGUGAGGGGUGGCCAUUGGGUCCAUUGCUGUGGUGUCACUGUUUGCUUCUCCGCACCAAGAGACUCCACCUGGGACCCGCCUGCUAGGGGCUAGCGUCAGGGUUAGGUUAGGGAGGAGGUGGCUUCAUCUGAGCUCCAGGACAUUGGCUGGAGCUUCCUUUGCUUUUCUGUCACGGUGUGGUCCCCAGUCCUUGGGACAAACUCACCUGAGUCCCUGAGGUUUCCCCCUCCUGCUGCCCCUGGCCUGAGCUCUGAGAAGCCUGACCCCAACCCUCCCAGAGCUUCCCUCGAGGGGCCCUUCGUAGGCUGCCCUGUGUUCACUACCCUCCCAGGUCCAAGUCUCACCUCCUCCAGAAGGCCUCCCAGGACUGCUGGCCCCAGACACAGAACUCCCAAGGGAAGGCUCUUCCACUAAAAGUCCAGCUGCAGCGAUAAUGAUGAGUUUGGAGAGGGCUGCAGACCCUGAGGCAGGGGUUGGUGCAGGGGCUGGACCUGAAACUGGGUUCACACAACAAGCUCGGACUCCUCUUAACACUCCUGAUUGGUGACAUUAUGGGGUCUUGGAUGCCUCCUCCUCUCUGUCCCUCGUACUGCCCCUGCCACCUGGGACUCCACCAAGUUCCUUCUCCACCAGCCAUGAGGAGAGCCUGCCCAGGGGCCAGCACUCUCUCCCUGAGCCUUAGAACCAGGAGGAUUCUCACUGCUUCUAUGUCACAGUAGGUAAAAAACACAUAAAAUAAAAUGAAAUAUCAUGAUCACCUGAGAAGAAAGUUCAGAGUAGGCCCGUAUCACGUGUUUCCAGAGAAUCCACAGCUUCCCUAUGAAGCCAUUGCUGGCAUAGGGAAGGGUGGGGCCAGGAAACAGCCGCUAUCCAGCCCCUCCAGGUUGACUCAAGUCAGAGUGUGUGGGGGCCAGUCAUGGAACAGAGGGAGCCUCCUGCCCAGGGCAAGCGUGGGGAGACCACCAGGGGCCCCAGACAGGUGAGCCGCUCCAGCAGGGACAGCACAGGUGGUGCAUGGUCGGGGCUGGACAUCGGGGUUAGUCGGCAAGGAUGAGGAGUCUCUGGGGAUGGAGGCUGAGGCUUGGGGUUCUCAGGCAAGGGCAGGCCUAGGUGCAGCAGAGAAUUGUUUGGAGGGAGGAAAUCAAGCUUUCCUUCUAGAAAGGGUGACAGGGACCAAAGGGAGAGGGCAGGGACAGCCCCUGGAAAGGGCAGGUGAGGAAGGUGAGGCUGGAGGGGACCCAAGAAGGGAUCCUGGGGAGGUAGUGGCCAAGAGCAGGGUGAGGGCCAGGCCGCACCUUUCGCUGUACCCAGCUCUCCCUGGGGUGGCCCUGGCCCUGCUCUGCUGUCCCCUGCAGGACAGGUGCCUCAGGCUUGUCCCAGCUUGUCCUACAGCAGGUCCUCAGCACCCACAGGUCCUGCCUUGGGCUCUGCAGAAGCAGGGAGUGGUGAGGUCAGGACCCUGGGCCACAGAAGAAAUGGUCUGGGGGACAAGGACGGGGGUUGGGGGACUGACAGCUGUUUUCUGAAGGCCCGGGGAGUGGAGGAGAGGGGUGAGGGGCCAAGGCUUGGGGCUCAGUAUGGGGGCAGCUGCAGGGGGUGAGGGGGCCAGUGGGGCCAGUGAAGAGGGCCUAGGGUCUGGUAUCUGCAGCAGGCACUCACAGAGGACAGACUGUUUGCAAGGUAGGUCAGGUGACAGGGAGCCAGGGGGGCUGAGGAGGCUCAGGGCCUGACUCCAGGGAGAGCAGUUGCCAUCCCCCAGGUCCAGAGGGGCCCUGGGAGGAGUCCAGGCAGGGCUGAAGCUGGAAGAAGUAAGAGGGGCUGGCACUCAAGGACUGCAGCCACUGGCCAGGUGGGGCCAGGUCGGACCGGCUGCCUUCCCUGGUCUCAGCCCCAGCCUUCUGUGGCUGCCUCCCCCAUCGGAGCCAUCAGAGAGCAGGAUGUGGGAGGGGCAGGUGAAGGACAGCCUCUGUGAUAGUCCCUGGUGUGCUGCAGCCUGGGGUGAGGGGCCUUGGGGAUGGGAAGGGCUGGGAGCUGGGAGACGAUGGCUCCCAGCACUUGGUCCUGAGGGGCCUUGGAGCAGCUUCCCCCAGGCCUGCAGAGGCAACUUCUGACACUCGGGGAGCUGAGGCCAAGGGAAGGCUCCCCAGACACAAGGAGAAGGGGCUGGGGGCAGCCAGAAGGCUUUGGGCUACCCUCCCUGGAGGCUCAGGUCCCAGGUGACCCCUCCAGCUGUGUUCCUUCCAAGAUUGGGACCUGCAAAGAUUGCAGAUGUGAGGAAAGGAAGGUGUCUUGGGCAUUCUUCCCAGUGUGGCUGAGCUGUGCCUGUGAGGACAUGCAGACACUCAGAGGACCUGUCCUCAGGGGCCCCAGGGUGAAGGUCAAGAUCUCACCUUACAACCAGCCGGGCCCUGACUACUUCCAGCCACCAGGCCCCCAGGACAGGAGCAGGACAGUGGUUAUUUCCCCAGUGGACGGGGGGCUCCAGGUCACAUAAGAAUAACAUGCCCUGUGACAAGGCGUGGGGAUGAAAAUGCUUCCCCCUGGGCUGAGAUUCCAGGACACCUGAGAUGGGGGGACCCCGGCCACAUGUUUAGAGCUCUCAGGGAACCUGGAGGGCCCCUCAGCCUCUGUUCCCCUACUGGGGAGAACAGAGGCCUGGUGGUAGCAAUUUCAGGGAACUCAGAGAAACACUGUUCCCCAGACCUUGGAGCUCCCUCUGUGCCUGGCUCUCACUGUGAGGCCCCCCACCAGCUGGUCCUGCUCAGGGAGCCUCCACGUGUCCCCCUGGUUCCUCCGGCCAGCCUAGGGGUGGAGGGUGCGGUCCCCAUGGCCUGUAGGAAGUAGGGCUCAGAGGGGCAAAGUCACCGCCCUGAGGUCACCAGGAGGUCCCGGCAGAGGGGGUUGGGGCCUGGCUCAGGGCCUGUUCUCCCUGCUGAGCUCAGUGGGAUGGGGCCAUCUCAAGGGUCCCACUGUUUUUCUCUGGUCUCUGCCCCAGCAUGUGGUGGGACCUUGAUUUCCAUACUCUCAUGUCACCAGUCUGUUGGGGGGCAGAGGUUAUGGGGUCACUGAUAUCACCUGGCUCAUUCCUCCCCCAUCCAGGCUGUCCCAUGAGAAUGUCUAAUCUGUAUGUCAUCGGAGUCAAUAAUGUGUUUUGCUAUCGCUCUGGUUCCAGGGAUAUUGCUCAGCCAAAGGGCCAGCAUCCCAGUGAAGAAGAUCAGAAAGAGGCUUCCGGUCACCAGGAGACUCCUGGGGAGGGCCUAGGCUGGGAGUGGGACACGGGUGGGGUUGGAUGGAAGAGUACCAGGUGGGCCUAGGAUGGAUGGAGGAGGCUGUGUCCCCAGCUACAGGCCUGGAGAUGUUACGGGACCCAACAGGCCCCCAGCCUCCAUCCCCGUGCUGGGUUCUCAGGUUUAGUGGGGGCAGUGCCUGGGGACUCAGAGGGACCCUGACCCCAGAGCUUGGAGACCCCUCUGGAGCAUGCCUGGCUCUCACUGUGAGGCCCGCACCAGCCAGUCCUGCUCUGAGAGCCUCCUCGUGUCCCCCUGGCUUGUCCUGCCAGCCUGGGGGUGGAGGGUGUGGUCCCCAUGGCUUGUGGGAGGGAGGGCCCAGAGGGGCAAAGUCACCACCCUGAGGCCACCAGGAGAUCCCUACAGAGGGCAGAGUGGGUUGGGGCCUGCCUUAGGGUCUGUUCCCCUUGAGCUCGGUGGGACAGGGCCAUCUCGAGGGUCCCAGUGUUUUUUUCUGGUCCCUGCCCCAGUGUUUAAUGGGACACAGCCCCUCACAUCCCCAGUCUGUGGGGGGCAGAGGUCAUGGGUCACUGACAUCCCCUGGCUCAUUCCUCCCACAUUCACCCAACAGACCCCUUAUCCUCCAUCCCCCUGCUGAGACUGGGGAUUGGCUCAGGGCCUGUUCUCCCCACUGAGUUUGGUGGGAUGGGGCCAUCUUGAGGGUCUGGGUGUUUUUCUCAGGUGGGACCUAGAUCCCCACAGUCCCUCACGUGCCCAAUCUGUGGGGUGGGCAUGGGGUCACCAAGGUCACCUGGUUCAUUCUUCCCCCAUCCAGAUUCCGUCUCUAGAGCCUUUGAGGUCACUCCUGACGCUGACAUGGCUGUGAAGAGCUGGGUGCCAGGCAUUACUGCCUCCAAGGUUGCUUUGCGAGGAAUAGGUGGGGCAUCAGGAAGAAGCCAGUUGCAGGCAAGGCCUCUGCUGAUGCUGCUUUUUUCUCCUGUACCCAUCCAUGGGAGGGAGCUGUGAGAUGGCCUGGCAGAACCCGCUCUUGGACCCCACAGAAUGAGAGGCUCACCCUGCACAGGAACAUCCUGGGGCAGCAGGCUCAGCACAUUUUAAAUUUUGAGUAUGAACAAAGUAAACUUCAGGGUUAAAAAAAAACACAAAAAUUUGUCGAGCACACAAUGAUUGAGUGCCUAUGGUAUACCUGACGCUUUGCCAUAUCCAGGCUUCAAACCUCAGGGUUCUGGGUCCUUUGAGGCCCAGCUCCAACCCCACCUCACCCAAGCACUCUCCACCCCCACCACGUAACCUUACCAGGGCUGCCCAGCUUGGGUCAUCUCAGACCACUUGGGCCCCUCAGGCCUCACGCCCUGAGCCCCUC
This 9380-nucleotide long non-coding RNA is filed under the name Homo sapiens (human). Its description in RNAcentral is "non-protein coding SRRM2-AS1:23". Lineage: Eukaryota; Metazoa; Chordata; Mammalia; Primates; Hominidae. The record is from RNAcentral.